This 201-nucleotide long non-coding RNA is filed under the name Vigna radiata. RNAcentral's name for it is "long non-coding RNA (VRAD_LNC001512)". Lineage: Eukaryota; Viridiplantae; Streptophyta; Magnoliopsida; Fabales; Fabaceae. The record is from RNAcentral.
UGUGGUUUGUNCACAUGUGUUUGGUAUAAUUUNUUCUUAUNAAAAAUAUUAAUGUCUUUGGUUGUCUUCUUUUUGUGAUUAUUGCUCUUAUUUAUUGUUGUUGUCGUUUCUUAAAAUUUUUGGUAAAUUUGAAAGAAUUAUUUUCACUUCAUACUUUAAUACUUUUGAUUGUCGUUUCUUAAAAUUUUUGGUAAAUUUGAA